UGUGUAGGCGGAUUAUUAAGUCAGUGGUGAAAGUUUGCGGCUCAACCGUAAAAGUGCCAUUGAUACUGGUAGUCUUGAGUACAGUAGAGGUAGGCGGAAUUUAUGGUGUAGCGGUGAAAUGCAUAGAUACCAUAAAGAACACCGAUAGCGAAGGCAGCUUACUAUACUGAGACUGACGCUGAGGCACGAAAGCGUGGGGAGCGAACAGGAUUAGAUACCCUGGUAGUCC
Molecule: ribosomal RNA, 229 nt
Filed under: uncultured bacterium
Lineage: Bacteria
Description: partial 16S ribosomal RNA
Rfam family: Bacterial small subunit ribosomal RNA
Source: RNAcentral